GAUGAACGCUGGCGGCGUGCCUAAUACAUGCAAGUCGAGCGAACAGACGAGGCGCUUGCUCCUCUGACGUUAGCGGCGGACGGGAGAGUAACACGUGGAUAACCCACCUAUAAGACGGGGAUAACUUCGGGAAAGCGGAGCUAAUACCGGAUAAUAUAUUGAACCGCGUGGGUCAAUAGUGAGAGACGGCGUUGGUGUCACUUAUAGAGGGAUACGCGCCGGAUUGGCGAGUUGGUAAGGUCACGGCUUACCAAGGCAACGAUGCGUAGACGACCUGAGAGACUGGUCGCCCACCUUAGAAGUGAGACACCCUCCAUGCUCCUGAGGUAGGCCGCAGACGCGAAUCUUCCGCAGCAGUCGAAAGCCUGACAGAGCAACGCGGCGCGAGUUGUGACGAUCUUCGGAUCGUAAUACUCUGUUAUUAGGUAUAAACAGAUGUGUCCGUUGCCAUGCACGUCUUGACGGUACCUAAUCAGAAAGCCACGGCUAACUACGUG
This 497-nucleotide ribosomal RNA is filed under the name uncultured bacterium. RNAcentral describes it as "partial 16S ribosomal RNA". It matches the Rfam family "Bacterial small subunit ribosomal RNA", at positions 28 to 507 of the family's 1533-position model. The record is from RNAcentral.